This 562-nucleotide ribosomal RNA is filed under the name Talaromyces sp. RNAcentral's name for it is "eukaryotic LSU rRNA". The stretch from base 197 to 350 matches the Rfam family "5.8S ribosomal RNA". The record is from RNAcentral. Lineage: Eukaryota; Fungi; Ascomycota; Eurotiomycetes; Eurotiales; Trichocomaceae.
UUCCGUAGGGGUACCUGCGGAGGGAUCAUUACACAAAUAUGAAGGCGGGCUGGAACCUCUCGGGGUUACAGCCUUGCUGAAUUAUUCACCCUUGUCUUUUGCGUACUUCUUGUUUCCUUGGUGGGUUCGCCCACCACUAGGACAAACAUAAACCUUUUGUAAUUGCAAUCAGCGUCAGUAACAAAUUAAUAAUUACAACUUUCAACAACGGAUCUCUUGGUUCUGGCAUCGAUGAAGAACGCAGCGAAAUGCGAUAAGUAGUGUGAAUUGCAGAAUUCAGUGAAUCAUCGAAUCUUUGAACGCACAUUGCGCCCUUUGGUAUUCCAAAGGGCAUGCCUGUUCGAGCGUCAUUUGUACCCUCAAGCUUUGCUUGGUGUUGGGCGUCUUGUCUCUAGCUUUGCUGGAGACUCGCCUUAAAGUAAUUGGCAGCCGGCCUACUGGUUUCGGAGCGCAGCACAAGUCGCACUCUCUAUCAGCAAAGGUCUAGCAUCCAUUAAGCCUUUUUUUCAACUUUUGACCUCGGAUCAGGUAGGGAUACCCGCUGAACUUAAGCAUAUCAAAA